UGCAGUCGAGCGGCAGCACGGGGAGCUUGCUCCCUGGUGGCGAGCGGCGGACGGGUGAGUAAUGCAUAGGAAUCUGCCCGGUAGUGGGGGAUAACGUGGGGAAACCCACGCUAAUACCGCAUACGUCCUACGGGAGAAAGCGGAGGAUCUUCGGACUUCGCGCUAUCGGAUGAGCCUAUGUCGGAUUAGCUAGUUGGUAAGGUAACGGCUUACCAAGGCGACGAUCCGUAGCUGGUCUGAGAGGAUGAUCAGCCACACUGGGACUGAGACACGGCCCAGACUCCUACGGGAGGCAGCAGUGGGGAAUAUUGGACAAUGGGCGAAAGCCUGAUCCAGCCAUGCCGCGUGUGUGAAGAAGGCUUUCGGGUUGUAAAGCACUUUCAGCGAGGAAGAAAGCCUCUGGGUUAAUACCCCAGAGGAAGGACAUCACUCGCAGAAGAAGCACCGGCUAACUCCGUGCCAGCAGCCGCGGUAAUACGGAGGGUGCGAGCGUUAAUCGGAAUUACUGGGCGUAAAGCGCGCGUAGGUGGCUUGGCACGCCGGUUGUGAAAGCCCCGGGCUCAACCUGGGAACGGCAUCCGGAACGGCCAGGCUAGAGUGCAGGAGAGGAAGGUAGAAUUCCCGGUGUAGCGGUGAAAUGCGUAGAGAUCGGGAGGAAUACCAGUGGCGAAGGCGGCCUUCUGGCCUGACACUGACACUGAGGUGCGAAAGCGUGGGUAGCAAACAGGAUUAGAUACCCUGGUAGUCCACGCCGUAAACGAUGUCGACUAGCCGUUGGGACCUUUAAGGACUUAGUGGCGCAGUUAACGCGAUAAGUCGACCGCCUGGGGAGUACGGCCGCAAGGUUAAAACUCAAAUGAAUUGRCGGGGGCCCGCACAAGCGGUGGAGCA
This 891-nucleotide ribosomal RNA is filed under the name uncultured bacterium. RNAcentral's name for it is "bacterial SSU rRNA". It matches the Rfam family "Bacterial small subunit ribosomal RNA", at positions 56 to 939 of the family's 1533-position model. The record is from RNAcentral.